GAUGAACGCUGGCGGCGCGCGUAACACAUGCAAGUCGAACGGCACCUAUCUUCGGAUAGAAGCGAGUGGCGAACGGCUGAGUAACACGUGGAGAACCUGCCCCCUCCCCCGGGAUAGCCGCCCGAAAGGACGGGUAAUACCGGAUACCCCCGGGCGCCGCAUGGCGCCCGGGCUAAAGCCCCGACGGGAGGGGAUGGCUCCGCGGCCCAUCAGGUAGACGGCGGGGUGACGGCCCACCGUGCCGACAACGGGUAGCCGGGUUGAGAGACCGACCGGCCAGAUUGGGACUGAGACACGGCCCAGACUCCUACGGGAGGCAGCAGUGGGGAAUCUUGCGCAAUGGGGGGAACCCUGACGCAGCGACGCCGCGUGCGGGACGGAGGCCUUCGGGUCGUAAACCGCUUUCAGCAGGGAAGAGUCAAGACUGUACCUGCAGAAGAAG
This 442-nucleotide ribosomal RNA is filed under the name uncultured bacterium. RNAcentral's name for it is "bacterial SSU rRNA". It matches the Rfam family "Bacterial small subunit ribosomal RNA", at positions 28 to 490 of the family's 1533-position model. The record is from RNAcentral.